Molecule: ribosomal RNA, 481 nt
Filed under: uncultured Gammaproteobacteria bacterium
Lineage: Bacteria; Pseudomonadati; Pseudomonadota; Gammaproteobacteria
Description: bacterial SSU rRNA
Rfam family: Bacterial small subunit ribosomal RNA
Source: RNAcentral
AUUGAACGCUGGCGGCAUGCCUAACACAUGCAAGUCGAGCGCGAAAGGCCUUCGGGCUGAGUAGAGCGGCGGACGGGUGAGUAACGCGUAGGAAUCUACCUGGUAGUGGGGGACAACUUGGGGAAACUCAAGCUAAUACCGCAUACGCCCUAAGGGGGAAAGCGGGGGACCUUCGGGCCUCGCGCUAUCAGAUGAGCCUGCGUAGGAUUAGCUAGUUGGUGAGGUAAAGGCUCACCAAGGCGACGAUCCUUAGCUGGUCUGAGAGGAUGAUCAGCCACACUGGGACUGAGACACGGCCCAGACUCCUACGGGAGGCAGCAGUGGGGAAUAUUGCGCAAUGGGGGCAACCCUGACGCAGCCAUGCCGCGUGUGUGAAGAAGGCCUUCGGGUUGUAAAGCACUUUCAAUGGGGAAGAAAAGCGUAGCGUUAAUAGCGUUGCGCCGUGACGUUACCCAUAGAAGAAGCACCGGCUAACUCCGUG